UAGCUAUUUAGAAAAUGGUGUUUCAAUUCACGGCCAUCUGGGAGAUGGCCGGCUUGCAACCAUUAGUACUACACCAACAAUGACAGU
Molecule: transfer RNA, 87 nt
Filed under: Avibacterium avium
Lineage: Bacteria; Pseudomonadati; Pseudomonadota; Gammaproteobacteria; Pasteurellales; Pasteurellaceae
Description: tRNA-Pro(ggg)
Source: RNAcentral